UGCGACGCAUAUCUUUUUUGUCGAGGCCGAUUUUGAGCAUGAGCAUGAGCAUGAGCAUGAGCAUGAGAGACCACCAAUGGUUGUCCUUCUCCGUUGCUGAACAGGACCGGGGAUGGGACGGGAAUGUUAGUUAGCACAGGCUGCUACCAAUGGUGGGUUCUAUACGAUAUCCACACCCCCGCGUGUGCCGGAAAACUACUUCUACUUGGGAUUAUGUUAGUAGGGAAGGGUAAUGGUCAGGAUUCAUCAUAGAAGAUGAUGAUGUGACCCAAAUAGUCGAUAAGUUUUGUUUAAUGGAGUGAUGUAUUAUUCCCAAGGCAAGCAAUCGGAUGCUGCUGUUGAGACUAUUCCCGUUUAUUUGUGAUUUAUUUAGGAUUAGAUGGAUUAUCUUUGACAGCCGGCUGUGGAAAGAUAAAACCACAAAGAAUGUAUUUAACAGGUAAGAUUUUAAACUCUACGUAAAGUGUUUAGUUCGAGUGGAUCAUAGACGAUUUCAGCUUUUGAAUAGUUAUAAGAAUAGCGACCGAUAACUGAUGAGUUACGAAGCUCCGAGCUAUAAUGCUGAGAGUUUUUUCACGCGUUCACGGGAAACGUCUUUUCGAAUUUAAAAAUUUAUACCUCGCGCACCUGCAAAACACAUAUUUUCAGGUUGUAGAAAUAAUACAAGGAAAAACUGCUAUAACAUUUAUCAAACACGGCGACGAACGCGCAAAACAAAACUGACCCGACGAGUUGCUCGGACUUAAUUUCUUUAUUUAUUUAUGAACAUUAAUAUAAAAAUCACUCACGCGACUACCGAAAAACGCUACCCGUUUGUUUUUAUAUCAGCAGUAAGCUAACCUGAAACCAAAUAUUUCAUUAGUAAUUUUUAUACUCUAUCAUUCUUUCAUUCACUCAACCAAUCACACAAAAAACUAAUUAAUUUAAAUAACUGUUUUAGGCACACAAACAGCGAUAGUAAGAAAUAAAACAUAUGCUUGAAUAUCAAUUCAUUUUAGCUAUUGAUGCAUUUUAGCGCCAAAGAAUAGCAAAAUAAAAGAAACGUAAAAAGGUUCAUCUUUUAGUUAAUCGUAAAAAAAAAAAAUGUUGUAAAAAUAAAAAUUAGACAAUCCGGCAACCCUGAACUUUAAAAUCACAUGCACACACGCAUACAUGCUUUGGCACCAGCCCGGGAGCAUGUUGACAGCUCCCAUACAAACUGAGCGUACCCCGUUUUGUGGGCCCAGUGGGCCUAAGAUGGCGGCCUUCGAUAUUAUCUAGCCAAACCUUUUAAAAUGGUGAAUAGUUUAAAUAAAUAUAGUGUUUGCCUUGUUUGGUUUAAAACGACAAAAUAAGCAUUCUGGAAUCAUUUUCUUUAAAAACUUGUUUAGAGAUGCGCCACGUUCAAAUAUUAGUCUAGAACAGUUGAAGUGAGCGUACCGCAAAAGCCGUCACGAAAACAAAGUUUCCUUUGCAAAUUUUGAGUUGCGUAUUUGUUUGGCGGACUCCGACGAGGCCCACUUGCCAUCUGUCGGUGAAUACGCGCAACUCACGAAAACUGUCAUCUUAGGGUCCGGUUGUUUGGCACACUCUCGCUCUGGAUUCCUAUUGGAAUUUCCUCACCAGUUUCUGCCGCUGCCUCCGCCGACAACUCAACACCAGUCCCAAGGCACGACCAAAGAAUUUGUCACAAAACCUCGCCUCGGCUUCAUGUGUGCUGCGUGUCUCCUUCGCCCUUUUCCUUUCGUCCAGAGUCCCGUUACCGCAUUCACAUUACAGCGCACUUACACCACAACGCAGCCCGCGCUACAACAUACGCUGUAACCUCGUGUCAUCGCUGAACAACGCACGCAUACAGACAACCAAACUCGUUCCUUUUUCUUUUCGACGACACUAAUACACAAGCACACACCGAACCGACGCCGCGCAAACCAUCAACAUGGAUUGGAAAAAUCUAGGAAAAAAAAAAUGAAUUUAACGGGAAUCGAACACAAAACCAUCAAAAACUCGACCGCAAAACCAAUCCCAGCACAAACAUGGGCCGAAUCACACAAAACAUGGAAUAAACACUUCCCAAAACAGCAAAAAAACACAAAAAAACCGCACACGCGAAGCACAACGAUCCGCACUCGGUGACAGCACAAACCGAACUCUUUUUCUCAUAGCUUUUGCAAAUUACUGUUAAAAAUGGAUAUUUUUAAAACCUUAAUAUCUUUUUGCAACAGCCUACAACACGCAUACUCCAGUAGGUCAAAAGUAAGGGAAUUUCAUGGACUAUAAGCCUACAGUAUUAACUUUUUGGCCAAUUGCAGUAUUUCUCAAUUUUUCUAUAACAAAUAUCUUACAACGUUAGUUUUUGCCCUGUAGGCCUCUAUAGCGGCCCUUUUUGGUCUCAAUUUUGUCUUAUUCGGAAUCCUCGGAAAAUUUCACGUAAGUUUUAACCUGGGUGCUGAAUAGUGGUUCGCAAAACGGCCUCAAUUUUAAACUGUCAAAGUGGAACCAAUUUACUAUUCGCCAAAAGCAGAGAGUAUUGUUAUCGAUCAUUAAAAUUUGUUUUUUUUUGCAAGAAUGAAAGAUGUGUGGUUUUUGAGGACCUGGAGUUGAUCGUAAUUUUUUAUAGUUUUAUAAUUUAUUAUAAAACAACUUGAUGGAGUCGAUGCGGUUGUAUCCAUCCAGAAGCUGUCUUUAUUGUUUGAUUCCGUUUGAAAACCUGCUGGUUUAGUGAAAAUCUUCUCUGUUUGUUGAAUCAGCUUCGCUAGAAUUAGCGAUGUUUUUUUCGCUGGACCAGGAAGAGCUACAGGAUUCCAAAACCAGCCAGGGAAUUUAUCUGCGACAUCGCAGAAUGACAAUCUCGCUGCAGUUCUUCGUCACCGGUAAAAAAGAAAAACCUCUUCUAACCGAUCGAAACUUGAAAACACACUCAAUUUUCCAGCUAAAAAUGUCACAAACUAGACAAAAUAAAACAAGUACUACUGAUUAUAAAACAGCUAAUUUACAAUUAAGAAAAAAGUAAUGCUUGUGCUUGAACAGCCUCCUACUUUGUAGAUGUAAACAAUGUGGGAUCUUUCGAAAAUCACGUUACGCAUUCUCUCUAUUCAUCACCCAGGUUUUAACUAUCGGAGUUGUAAAUUUGUUGUUGUUGUUUGUUUUCAAUAUUGCACAACACUUUGCACCAAAUUCUCCACCCUUGCAAAUAAUAUCUGCACACCAAAUAUUUGCACACUUGAAAUCCUACCCCUUCUCCCCCCCUCUCGCCUAGAGUGGUGUGUGUCUCGACUGAGCUUCGUUGCUUUCGAACACUUUAGAACAAAUUCAAACUAGGGUAUGUGUCUUGGAAAGUUUUUUUCUGCUGUAGUUUGAGGUGUGCACUAGCGUGGUUCACGUUUCUAUGAAAAAGACAAAAGUUGUUAUUUUGUCUUGCAUCAACCGGAAUUUCGUUCUUUUAUGUCCCCAGAAGCACUCCUGAAAAUUUGAGCCCAUUUGGUAAGGUCUAGGAGCUCCAGUUUUAAUUUGAAAUUUAUAUGGGAUUUUGAUUUAUUUUCCAUGGGAAACUAUCUUUUUUUACAUUGUAUUAGGAUUUUUUUUUAUAAAUCGAUGAAAUGACUUGAUUCUUAUAGUAGGAGAUAGGUUUUGAACUGGGGAACAACUUUGUAGAACAUACCAACAUGCUAGGAAGUGACCCUUUAAAGAUACAGAUACUUUUAGAUGGUGGCUUUUGAAGGGGCUUUACUGUGUGGGGUGAAACGGGCUAGCUGGCGUAAGUUCAAGAUAUCUUUGGUUUUUAAUCGAUGGUGCUUUGACUUUUUCUAGUCAUAUAUACAAAGUUAUUUUUAGAACAUUUAUUUAUAGACAAGCAUGGGCUACGGUUUUGGCCAGCAGUGUUUUGUGAGUUUUCAACGAUAGCAAAAUCUUUUCCUUGGACAAUCUGGCCACCGGUGUUGUUCCAGGUUAUCAAAUGGAUGAUGAGACAGUUCGGACAUCGGCACUGUUCCGGGUUGGCGGUUUGCUGUUUGUCAAAUAUGUUUUACAAGAAUUGGUGGACAGUUUCGACACCGGCAUUGUUCCGGGUUGGCGGUUGGCGGGUUAUCAAAGACUGUUUAAGAACGAACACGUGUGGAACAUCGUUCGAUUGCGUCUCGGACUCUUAAGCAGCACGUGAACGACGCAACGAUGACUUCCCAGAAGACGACCGCUCACUCCGGAUCGAUAUCACAGCUCUUUGAGCCGGACCGACCAUUAGCGCUCUGUAGAGGUGGACCAGGUGAAGAGCACAAGGCCAUACAGAAAAAAUCAGCACGUCGCAAAUCCCGACAACAUCCAACGAGUACUUCGGGAAGGUCAAAGCGGAGAACAACGAGAACCUCGCCCUGUAUGAAGCGCCGAGAACGACGAUUCUGAACACCGCCAGCUGGAUCGGACGCACGAAGUAGGUGAAGGUAUUUAGGAACAAGCUGGCAGACAAUAAUUAAGACCCUGUCUCAGGUGAGCAAGAGCGUUCAGACGCACACGGAGACACACCGGCUAUGCACCCUAGGACGACUCCGAUCUAGAUCGGACGCGCGAGAGUGGAGACGGCAGGAGAGACGAAUCGCACGCCAGAAAUCAACCGUAAGCGAGUCAGCAGCAAAUGACGCCUAUCUCUGACCAAGUUUUCCUCAUUCUCAAAAGUUAAAGGUCACCACCGCAAACACGGGUACAAGUGAAGCACGGCCCAUUAUCAAGGUCAAGCAGACAUGGAAACAAGAUGUAUGUUCGCUGAACCACGCGGAGUCUCACCGAUACCAAUAAAUUGCCCAACUCAGACAACAAGAGCGGUACUCGAAGCACACGGAUAACUACAGGAGUAACUGAAGCUAGAAAAAACGCCCCAUGGACCGAACGGGGUUUGGUGUUCCUGUCCCUGAGCGCGAGGACGGAUCAAUCGUGCACAGGUUGAGCUGAUUGGCUGGUGGAUUCGACUAGAGCGCUUCAUUCGCUCCAAGCAUCUGGUAGAGCAGGGCCAUGCGCGCUGAUGGAGUGCUCGAAAAUCGGGCGCAUCACGUGGACGCAGAGCGGAGUGCGUGCCAACACCGUACGCGCAACAAUAUCCUACGCGUCGGGCGGACGCAAAGCUUCGUGCUCGGCAACACCGUACAUCAGAGACAUGCGAGGUUGAAGUAGGAGUUUUGAAUCUAUUUUCAACCUUAUCAACAGCUGUUAAAAUGAGUUAUUGCGUUGAUUGUUUUAAUUAUUUGUUAUAAAAAACUGAAAUACACAAACAAUCGAAACAGUGUUGUUUACUUUAGAUUCUGUCCCGAAAUGCAAUUCCCAAUCUGAAACUAACCCCUGAUUAAAUCGACUCCCAAACUAUAUCCUUCAAUCCCGACCAAUUUCGUAAGCGUGACCAGCCCCUCCCCGUCCUCCCAUCUUUUCAAACUUCUUAACUGAUCGACAGACAACUGUGUCGAUCCCCUAACAAGAACAGUCUUUGAUAACCCGCCAACCGCCAACCCGGAACAAUGCCGGUGUCGAAACUGUCCACCAAUUCUUGUAAAACAUAUUUGACAAACAGCAAACCGCCAACCCGGAACAGUGCCGGUGUCCGAACUGUCUCAUCAUCCAUUUGAUAACCUGGAACAACACCGGUGGCCAGAUUGUCCAAGGAAAAGAUUUUGCUAUCGUUGAAAACUCACAAAACACUGCUGGCCAAAACCGUAGCCCAUGCUUGUCUAUAAAUAAAUGUUCUAAAAAUAACUUUGUAAAUAUGACUAGAAAAAGUCAAAGCACCAUCGAUUAAAAACCAAAGAUAUCUUGAACUUACGCCAGCUAGCCCGUUUCACCCCACACAGUAAAGCCCCUUCAAAAGCCACCAUCUAAAAGUAUCUGUAUCUUUAAAGGGUCACUUCCUAGCAUGUUGGUAUGUUCUACAAAGUUGUUCCCCAGUUCAAAACCUAUCUCCUACUAUAAGAAUCAAGUCAUUUCAUCGAUUUAUAAAAAAAAAAUCCUAAUACAAUGUAAAAAAAGAUAGUUUCCCAUGGAAAAUAAAUCAAAAUCCCAUAUAAAUUUCAAAUUAAAACUGGAGCUCCUAGACCUUACCAAAUGGGCUCAAAUUUUCAGGAGUGCUUCUGGGGACAUAAAAGAACGAAAUUCCGGUUGAUGCAAGACAAAAUAACAACUUUUGUCUUUUUCAUAGAAACGUGAACCACGCUAGUGUG
Long non-coding RNA from Culex pipiens pallens (northern house mosquito), 6173 nucleotides. RefSeq lists it as uncharacterized. The record is from RefSeq and is a predicted model, not a curated record. The transcript is spliced from 3 exons. Lineage: Eukaryota; Metazoa; Arthropoda; Insecta; Diptera; Culicidae.